UCAGGACGAACGCUGGCGGCGUGCCUAAUACAUGCAAGUCGAACGCUUCUUUCCUCCCGAGUGCUUGCACUCAAUUGGAAAGAGGAGUGGCGGACGGGUGAGUAACACGUGGGUAACCUACCCAUCAGAGGGGGAUAACACUUGGAAACAGGUGCUAAUACCGCAUAACAGUUUAUGUCGCAUGGCAUAAGAGUGAAAGGCGCUUUCGGGUGUCGCUGAUGGAUGGACCCGCGGUGCAUUAGCUAGUUGGUGAGGUAACGGCUCACCAAGGCCACGAUGCAUAGCCGACCUGAGAGGGUGAUCGGCCACACUGGGACUGAGACACGGCCCAGACUCCUACGGGAGGCAGCAGUAGGGAAUCUUCGGCAAUGGACGAAAGUCUGACCGAGCAACGCCGCGUGAGUGAAGAAGGUUUUCGGAUCGUAAAACUCUGUUGUUAGAGAAGAACAAGGACGUUAGUAACUGAACGUCCCCUGACGGUAUCUAACCAGAAAGCCACGGCUAACUACGUGCCAGCAGCCGCGGUAAUACGUAGGUGGCAAGCGUUGUCCGGAUUUAUUGGGCGUAAAGCGAGCGCAGGCGGUUUCUUAAGUCUGAUGUGAAAGCCCCCGGCUCAACCGGGGAGGGUCAUUGGAAACUGGGAGACUUGAGUGCAGAAGAGGAGAGUGGAAUUCCAUGUGUAGCGGUGAAAUGCGUAGAUAUAUGGAGGAACACCAGUGGCGAAGGCGGCUCUCUGGUCUGUAACUGACGCUGAGGCUCGA
RNAcentral lists this ribosomal RNA (761 nucleotides) under uncultured Bacilli bacterium. Its description in RNAcentral is "bacterial SSU rRNA". It matches the Rfam family "Bacterial small subunit ribosomal RNA", at positions 24 to 756 of the family's 1533-position model. The record is from RNAcentral. Lineage: Bacteria; Bacillati; Bacillota; Bacilli.